RNAcentral lists this ribosomal RNA (116 nucleotides) under Sinocyclocheilus grahami. The record is from RNAcentral. Lineage: Eukaryota; Metazoa; Chordata; Actinopteri; Cypriniformes; Cyprinidae.
UGGUGCCACAUUAUCACCCUGCAGCCCAGGACUGGUUGCCCACUGAAGCUAAGCAAGGUUGAGCUGGUCAGUACCUGGAUGGGAGACCUCCUGGGAAAACUAGGUUGCUGCUGGAA